This 505-nucleotide ribosomal RNA is filed under the name uncultured bacterium. RNAcentral's name for it is "bacterial SSU rRNA". It matches the Rfam family "Bacterial small subunit ribosomal RNA", at positions 17 to 518 of the family's 1533-position model. The record is from RNAcentral.
UUAUGGCUCAGGAUGAACGCUGGCGGCGUGCCUAACACAUGCAAGUCGAACGAAGCAUAUUUAACGGAGAUUCGUCGAAGCUGGAUAUGACUUAGUGGCGGACGGGUGAGUAAUGUAUGAGCAACCUGCCUUUCAGAGGGGGACAACAGUUGGAAACGACUGCUAAUACCGCAUAAUGUAUUUGGGUGGCAUCACCUGGAUACCAAAGGAGCAAUCCGCUGAAAGAUGGGCUCAUAUCUGAUUAGCUUGUUGGCGGGGUAACGGCCCACCAAGGCGACGAUCAGUAGCCGGACUGAGAGGUUGAACGGCCACAUUGGGACUGAGAUACGGCCCAGACUCCUACGGGAGGCAGCAGUGGGGAAUAUUGGGCAAUGGGCGAAAGCCUCGACCCAGCAACGCCGCGUGAAGGAAGAAGGUCUUCGGAUUGUAAACUUCUUUUAUGAGGGACGAAGGACGUGACGGUACCUCAUGAAUAAGCCACGGCUAACUACGUGCCAGCAGCGGC